UUAAACGGCCGCGGUAUCCUAACCGUGCAAAGGUAGCAUAAUCACUUGUCCCCUAAAUAGGGACUAGAAUGAACGGUUAAAUGAGGGCUUCACUGUCUCUUACAUUCGACCAAUAAACCUGAUCUUUCAGUCCAAAAGCUGAAAUAAACCCAUAAGACGAGAAGACCCUGUGGAGCUUCCAAACCAAGCCCACCUCCCUAUGUCCCCUUGGUUUUUAGUUGGGGCGACUUUGGAGCACAAACAACCCUCCAACUACGGACCUUCCCCUCUAGAUGUACAUAUCAACAAAAAUUUUCCCCGACCCAGUAGCUAAAUUGUCUAUCUGACCAAUGGACCAAGUUACCCCAGGGAUAACAGCGCCAUCCUCUUCUAGAGUCCCUAUCGACAAGAGGGUUUACGACCUCGAUGUUGGAUCAGGACACCCCUAUAGUGCAGCCGCUAUAAAAGGUUCGUUUGUUCAACGAUUAAAGUCCUACGUGAUCU
This 483-nucleotide ribosomal RNA is filed under the name Meroles cuneirostris. RNAcentral describes it as "partial 16S ribosomal RNA". It matches the Rfam family "Archaeal large subunit ribosomal RNA", at positions 2000 to 2675 of the family's 2987-position model. The record is from RNAcentral. Lineage: Eukaryota; Metazoa; Chordata; Lepidosauria; Squamata; Lacertidae.